Molecule: non-coding RNA, 1739 nt
Organism: Globicephala melas (long-finned pilot whale)
Lineage: Eukaryota; Metazoa; Chordata; Mammalia; Artiodactyla; Delphinidae
Source: the annotation of a RefSeq genome assembly
AUGCAGAGGGUCUGCUACCUCAUCCACCUCACUCUCUUCUGGCCAGGAGUCAUGUCAGCUGUCACGUUGGUGCCUCAAAACCAAGCAAGGAGUGUGUCUGUGGGGGAAUCUGUCACCCUCAGGUGCUCCAUGAAAGGAGACUCCAUCAGUAACUACUACACCUUCUGGUACAGGAAAACACCGGGUAACACAAUGACUCUCAUAUACCGAGAAGGGGGCACAUAUGGCCCUGGUUUCGAAGACAACUUCCAAGGUGAAAUUGAUUUUUUAAACAACCAGGCUGUGCUGAAUAUCCUGGAGGCAUCAGAGAGAGAUGAAGGAUCUUACUACUGUGCCUCGACCACCACCCUGCUUCACAAUACUAACUACCUAGACAGGCUCAUCUUUGGAAAAGGAACUCGCCUGAUUGUGGAACCAAAAAUUCAGGCUGUUGCCAACCCAUCCGUUUUUGUCAUGAAAAACGGGACAUAUGUCACUUGUCUGGUGAAGGAGUUCUACCCCAAAGAUGUAACUAUAAGUCUGGAAUCAUCCAAGAUAAUAAGAGAAUAUGACCCUGCUAUCGUCAUCUCUCCCGGUGGGAGGUACAGUGCCGUCAAGCUUGGUCAGUAUGGAGAUCCAGAUUCAGUGACAUGUUCAGUUCAACAUAACAAACAAACCUGGAGCUCUACUGACUUCAAACCGAAGAAAAAUACUUCAGAAAGUCCAAAGCCAAAGGAACCUGAAAACAUCAAUCAAACUCAAACUCCAGAGACCUGCUAUGAGCCCCAAGCCUUAGUGCAAGCCGGGAAGGUGAACAUGAUGUCCCUUGCAGUGCUGGGGCUCCGAAUGCUGUUUGCCAAGAGUGUUGCCAUCAAUUUUCUCUUGACUGCCAAGUUAUUUUUCUUUUAAGGCUGACCGGCAUGAGAAGGCUACACGCCCUGAAAGAAAUCAAAAGCCUACAGAGGUGCUAUCUCCUAGGCUUUCAACUUCCUGGUGGUUUAAGUUGACCCGUCCCAGCCUUGCUUAAAUGGCUGUUUCCCAAACCAGUUUUCCUUUAAAGGCAACAAACCCAGCUUAUCCUUCAGCCUGAUGAAAGACAGAAGUCCUGGAGAGUGGGGGCUUAUGGUCCCAACUGUUUUACAUGCUGCUUUAUAAAAGGAUAUAGAGAUAUGAAGGUAUAUAGGACACAUUUUUUUUCCUACAACUGACACACUUUGAAAAUGGUGUUUUGUUCCUUUGACUUUCUUUACCUCCAGAAGUAGAAAGCAGGAGCCAUCGGGUUCCUAGCCCCAUUCUCCAAGAGGAAAAUAGAUCCUGGGCUUCUACCGAAACAUAAAAGGCUCUGCUCAACCCAGCACUAGGUUUGCCCCAAACUAGCGUUCUCAUCCACAAAGGCACUUUCUGCUUUUCCUAGUAUUUGACAAACAAAACUACAUUUGACUUCCUAACACUCUCUGCCCAGGCAAUGGGGUUUCUCAAAUCUCAUCUAAAUACCCUCAGAGUUAUUAGCAGAGAUCAGAGUAAAAUGCAGAGGAAAUGGGUUUCUCUCUAUUAAUUGAUUUAACGAACAUGAAUUACUCCAAGUUCUAGGCACUGUACUGAGGGUGCAAAAAUACGUAAGACGUGGGUCUUGCUUUCAAGCAACUCAUUGUGCAAGUGUUCUGGGAGGGAGGGACAGGAAUGAGACCCCGAGAUUUCCCCUGUAAGAACAGUGUCUUCAUGACCCCCUGCCUGCCCAUCCAUGCCCAGGAAGUUUGAAG